AUGAUAUCGUUGCAUGACCUGUACACGGUCCUCGCGGCGGUGGUUCCGCUCUACGUGGCGAUGAUCCUGGCGUACGGCUCGGUGAGGUGGUGGGGCAUCUUCACGCCCGACCAGUGCUCCGGCAUCAACCGCUUCGUCGCCAUCUUCGCCGUGCCGCUGCUCUCCUUCCACUUCAUCUCCACCAACGACCCCUACGAGAUGAACCUCCGCUUCCUGGCCGCGGACACGCUGCAGAAGUUCCUCGUCCUGGCCCUGCUCGCCGCGUGCUCCCGUCUGAUCCCCUCGCGGCUGGACUGGUCCAUCACGCUCUUCUCGCUGUCGACGCUGCCCAACACGCUCGUCAUGGGGAUCCCUCUGCUCGUAGCCAUGUACGGCCCCUACGCUGGCUCGCUCAUGGUCCAGAUUGUCGUGCUCCAGUGCAUCAUCUGGUACACGCUGCUGCUCUUCCUCUUCGAGUUUCGCGCCGCUCGCAUGCUAAUCGCUGAUCAGUUCCCCGACACCGCGGCGUCCAUCGUGUCGCUGCAUGUAGACCCCGACGUGGUGUCGCUGGAGGGCGGCCGUGCGGAGACGGAGUCCGAGGUGGCGGCCGACGGGCGGUUGCAUGUCACCGUGCGCCGGUCCUCGGUGUCGAGGCGGUCGACGCUGCUGGUGACGCCGCGGCCGUCAAAUCUGACGGGCGCGGAGAUCUACUCCUUGAGCUCGUCGCAGAACCCCACCCCGCGGGGCUCCAACUUCAACCAGGCGGACUUCUUCGCCGUCGUCGGUGGUGCGCCGCCCGCCAGGGUGGGCGACUCGAGCUUCGGCGCCUCCGAGCACUACUCGGUGCAGUCGUCGCAGAGGCCGACGCCGAGGGAGUCCAACUUGGAGGAGCACUCGGCAGGGCCAAAGCAAGCCAUGACAGACGCCGGAGCGCAGCACAACCAUGACGCCAAGGAGCUCCACAUGUUCGUGUGGAGCUCCAGCGCCUUUCCCGUCUCAGAAGUAGUAAGCGGCUUGCCGGUGUUCAGCGGCGGUACAGACGCAGCGCAUCUCGAUGCCGCCGCCAAGGAAAUCCGCAUGGUUGUCCCCGCGGACCCGCCGCAGAAUGGCUCAUGCAAAGAUAACGGGGGCUACACCGCGGCAGCGAGGGGAGGCGGAAAGGCAGUGGAGGACGACGGCGACGCGGUGCAGGCCGGGCCGGACAGGCCGACGGCGAAGCUGAACUCCAGCCCCGGCGAUGAGGACGGAGCGGAAACCGGGAAGCACCAAAUGCCGCCGGCGAGCGUGAUGACACGGCUCAUACUAAUCAUGGUGUGGCGCAAGCUCAUCCGCAACCCCAACACCUACUCCAGCCUAAUCGGCCUCACCUGGUCCCUCAUCGCCUUCCGGUGGCACGUCUCCAUGCCAACGAUGGUCGAGAAGUCCAUCUCCAUCCUCUCGGACGCUGGGCUGGGGAUGGCCAUGUUUAGCCUGGGUGGGUGCCCACGCCCCUUGUGCUCCUGUCUCCGCCUAGCCCUACACCGUGUCGCACCGCAAUUAAUCCUCCCCCCUCGCCCUCCUGCCCACACCCCGCAUGCAUGCAUAACACCGUCAACCUUUGCCUGGGCAGGACUGUUCAUGGCGCUGCAGCCGAGCAUCAUCGCCUGCGGCAACUCCGCCGCCGUCGCCUCCAUGGCCGUCCGCUUCCUCGCGGGCCCUGCCAUCACUGCUGCCGCGUCAGCCGCCGUCGGUCUCCGUGGGACGCUCCUCAAGGUCGCCAUUGUUCAGGUAACUACGCACGCAUGCCAGCUAAAAAAACACCACGCAUGCAUACACGUGAAAAGGUGUUUUUUUUUUUGCAUGUUCUCCUAG
RNAcentral lists this ribosomal RNA (1830 nucleotides) under Triticum aestivum (bread wheat). RNAcentral's name for it is "partial small subunit ribosomal RNA". Lineage: Eukaryota; Viridiplantae; Streptophyta; Magnoliopsida; Poales; Poaceae. The record is from RNAcentral.